UUUUUCUUCAUUGCAGUGAUAUUCGACCCUUACCCACACCUAUCCGAACUAGAUCUAAGCUACCCACAUAUAAGUGAAGUUGUUUUGUAGUAACGGAUAGCAAAACGAAGUCGUUGGAAGUUGUUUCGAUGCGUUCCUCUGCUGCAAAACGUGGACAGCAGCAGUUUCAUGGUGUUUGGUCCUUAUCCACACCCGUUCGAAGCCCGAUUUACGUUACCCACCCUUGCUCGAGUUAGAUAAGAGUUACCCACACCUAAGCGAAGUCGUUUUGUAGUAACGGAUAGCAAAACGAAGUCGUUGGAAGUUGUUUCGAUGCGUUCCUCUGCUGCAAAACGUGGACAGCAGCAGUUUCGUGGUGUUUGGCACUUACCCACACCCGUUUGAAACCCGAUCUACGUUACCCACCCUUGCUCGAGUUAGAUAUGAGUUACCCACACUCAAACGAAAUCGUUUUUGUGGUGCCGAAUCAACCGAAGAAUUAGGAACAUUGAGAGUGGUAAGUAGUUCUUACUUGGGGGAUGUUUGUUGUAUGAAUAUGUAUGAAUUGUUUGGUGCUUUCGGUAUGUUUAUUAUUUAUUAAUAUGUAAGUUGAUUGUGUCUUAGUGAAUAUUGGCUAAUGAUUAUAACUAGUUGAAUGAAAUCAUGUUGGUUCUGGUUGUUUAUAAUUGAUUUGCUUUGCGUUGUUGGAUUUGAUGCUUAGUGAGAUUU
Momordica charantia (bitter melon) is the source of this 708-nucleotide non-coding RNA. NCBI's taxonomy places the organism in Eukaryota, Viridiplantae, Streptophyta, Magnoliopsida, Cucurbitales, Cucurbitaceae. The record is from RefSeq and is a predicted model, not a curated record.